GACGAACGCUGGCGGCGUGCCUAAUACAUGCAAGUCGAGCGGAAGUUGGAGAGCUUGCUCUUCAACUUUAGCGGCGGACGGGUGAGUAACACGUGGGCAACCUGCCCUGCAGAUCGGGAUAACUCCGGGAAACCGGUGCUAAUACCGAAUAGUUUUCGCCACCUCCUGGUGGCGUACGGAAAGACGGUUUCGGCUGGCACUGCAGGAUGGGCCGGCGGCGCAUUAGCUAGUUGGUGGGGUAACGGCCCACCAAGGCGACGAUGCGUAGCCGACCUGAGAGGGUGAUCGGCCACACUGGGACUGAGACACGGCCCAGACUCCUACGGGAGGCAGCAGUAGGGAAUCUUCCGCAAUGGACGAAAGUCUGACGGAGCAACGCCGCGUGAGUGACGAAGGUUUUCGGAUCGUAAAACUCUGUUGUGAGGGAAGAACAAGUACCAACUAACUACUGGUACCUUGACGGUACCUCACCAGAAAGCCACGGCUAACUACGUGCCAGCAGCCGCGGUAA
This 511-nucleotide ribosomal RNA is filed under the name uncultured bacterium. RNAcentral's name for it is "partial 16S ribosomal RNA". It matches the Rfam family "Bacterial small subunit ribosomal RNA", at positions 28 to 523 of the family's 1533-position model. The record is from RNAcentral.